Molecule: long non-coding RNA, 442 nt
Organism: Trachymyrmex cornetzi
Lineage: Eukaryota; Metazoa; Arthropoda; Insecta; Hymenoptera; Formicidae
Exons: 3
Source: RefSeq, a predicted model, not a curated record
UUUUAAUCUAUUAUAAUAAGUCAUCUUGUGACAAAACAAAUUUGUGUUACUGUACCGAUACGAUUUAAUAAGCUUAUAACUGUGACUGUACCAAUAUUAUUGGAUUGUCUUUAGACGUGACUUUGCUCUCGGUUUGGCGAUUUUAAACACAUUGUCACAUUCGCAGGCUAACGUUCAAGCUAACAACAUCAAAGUUACUCGCCUGCUAUUGAAAUUGCCAGUUCGGUAGUGGAGUUAACGUUGAUGAGAUAUGUAAUUAGUCAAGUUCAGCGUUACAUCAAAUCAAUCAAUUUGAUGUACAUUAUUAGAACAAAGGACACAUUCUGCAAUUUAUGUUAGCCUUAAGACAAUAUUCAUAGCGUUUAAUAUAUUUUGUACUGAAGAGGACCCGAAGCGAGGGUCGAAACGUUUACCAAUUAAUGUAAUUCUUCGAAUAAAGUUU